GUAGAAGAGAGAGAGAGAGGGGGGGGGUAGACAGAUUGUAAAAGAGAGAGGGGGGGGAGGGGGUAGACAGAUUGUAAAAGAGAGAGAGAGAGAGGGGGUAGACAGAUUGUAAAAGAGAGAGAGAGGGGUAGACAGAUUGUAAAAGAGAGAGAGAGAGAGGGGGUAGACAGAUUGUGAAAGAGAGAGAGAGAGAGAGGUAGUAGACAGAUUGUGAAAGAGAGAGAGAGAGAGAGGGGUAGACAGAUUGUGAAAGAGAGAGAGAGAGAGGGGUAGACAGAUUGUAAAAGAGAGAGAGAGAGAGGGGUAGACAGAUUGUAAAAGAGAGAGAGAGAGAGAGAGAGAGGGGUAGACAGAUUGUGAAAGAGAGAGAGAGAGAGAGAGGGAGAGAGAGAGAGAGAGGGGUAGACAGAUUGUGAAAGAGAGAGAGAGAGAGGGGUAGACAGA
Long non-coding RNA from Ictalurus punctatus (channel catfish), 444 nucleotides. The record is from Ensembl. Lineage: Eukaryota; Metazoa; Chordata; Actinopteri; Siluriformes; Ictaluridae.